This 775-nucleotide long non-coding RNA is filed under the name Meleagris gallopavo (turkey). RNAcentral's name for it is "lncRNA (ENSMGAG00000021774.1)". Lineage: Eukaryota; Metazoa; Chordata; Aves; Galliformes; Phasianidae. The record is from RNAcentral.
UGCCCGUGUUUCACUUCUCGUUUCUUUUCAUUUCCUUUUGUCUGUAGGUGACAUUUGCGAUCACCAUGUGGUGAGCAGAGGAAACUCCCCUCUCCUCCACCCUCCUGUCAGGAGCCUUCCCUCGGGGAACAGAGGUCUCUCAAAACGGUGGGGGUUACCUUUCCCACCCCCGCUAUCUCCUGUCUCGCAGGAAUUAGGGAAUCAAAGGCUUCUUCUCCAACAACGGCUUUACUACAGCCAACGUAGAUGGACAUUGCCACAGCUGAACUCGGAUGCUCAUAGAUGGGGUGACCACACGUUUCUGUGGUCACACUUGAGUGCAAACGAUCUGUAGCCCUCACCCAGGAACAGAGAAGAAAGGUUCAUCGGACUGAAAGAGCUAAGCUAAGAAACUCUUAGUUACACUCUUUGCAGGACCAGGGUUUCCCUCUCGUUCCUUAAACGAGUUCUUUCACUUCUGAUGGGUGGAAGACAAGGGAAGCCUCUUGUUGUGUCUUGGGUACCACUCCUGCAAAAUGGAAUGAACACUGUUGAACUGAGCAAUACUAAAUGGUUAUUACACAGUGCAGAUCUGGACUCCUGUCUGCAUCUAUGUCGAGGAGUGCAGCUAUCUCUCUGUUUUUACAGCAGGUCUGGGCAGCUUCGUUUGAAGCAUGCAGUCUGGAGGUCAUAUCUCUUCCCUCCACUGAAUUCAAAAGGAUCUCAUGCAGCACCUAACCACUUCAGGUGCAGUGUCUUCUCCCAUAAUAUGAUGAAAAAGAGUUGGAGUUCAUAG